RNAcentral lists this transfer RNA (73 nucleotides) under Genlisea aurea. It matches the Rfam family "tRNA". From Rfam's summary of the family: Transfer RNA (tRNA) molecules are approximately 80 nucleotides in length. Their secondary structure includes four short double-helical elements and three loops (D, anti-codon, and T loops). The record is from Rfam by way of RNAcentral. Lineage: Eukaryota; Viridiplantae; Streptophyta; Magnoliopsida; Lamiales; Lentibulariaceae.
GGUAUUAUAGUUUAAUUGGCAAAAAUAUAAAUCUACGAAAUUUAAGAUAUAGGUUCAAAUCCUAUUAAUGCCU